This 497-nucleotide ribosomal RNA is filed under the name uncultured bacterium. RNAcentral's name for it is "partial 16S ribosomal RNA". It matches the Rfam family "Bacterial small subunit ribosomal RNA", at positions 28 to 507 of the family's 1533-position model. The record is from RNAcentral.
GAUGAACGCUGGCGGCGUGCCUAAUACAUGCAAGUCGAGCGAACAGACGAGGAGCUUGCUCCUCUGACGUUAGCGGCGGACGGGUGAGUAACACGUGGAUAACCUACCUAUAAGACUGGGAUAACUUCGGGAAACCGGAGCUACUACCGGAUAACAUGUUGAACCGCAUGGUUCAACAGUGAAAGACGGUCUUGCUGUCACUUAUAGAUGGAUCCGCGCCGCAUUAGCUAGUUGGUAAGGUAACGGCUUACCAAGGCAACGAUGCGUAGCCGACCUGAGAGGGUGAUCGGCCACACUGGAACUGAGACACGGUCCAGACUCCUACGGGAGGCAGCAGUAGGGAAUCUUCCGCAAUGGGCGAAAGCCUGACGUAGCAACACCGCGUGAGUGAAGAAGGUCUUCGGAUCGUAAAACUCUGUUAUUAGGGAAGAACAAAUGUGUAAGUAACUAUGCACGUCUUGACGGUACCUAAUCAGAAAGCCACGGCUAACUACGUG